This 274-nucleotide ribosomal RNA is filed under the name uncultured bacterium. Its description in RNAcentral is "partial 16S ribosomal RNA". It matches the Rfam family "Bacterial small subunit ribosomal RNA", at positions 523 to 796 of the family's 1533-position model. The record is from RNAcentral.
AUACGGAGGAUGCAAGCGUUAUCCGGAUUUACUAGGUUUAAAGGGUGCGCAGGCGGAAUGGUAAGUCAGUGGUGAAAGCUCCCCGCUUAACGGGGAAAUUGCCAUUGAAACUGUCAUUCUUGAGUGUAGUUGAGGUGGUUGGAAUGUGUUGUGUAGCGGUGAAAUGCGUAGAUAUAACACAGAACGCCAAUUGCGAAGGCAGACCACUAAACUACUACUGAUGCUGAGGCACGAAAGCGUGGGGAGCGAACAGGAUUAGAUACCCCAGUAGUCC